This is an RNA transcript of Arachis duranensis, 4141 nucleotides long. It is a transcript of the gene named mitogen-activated protein kinase kinase kinase 1, with no coding region annotated. The record is from RefSeq and is a predicted model, not a curated record. The transcript is spliced from 10 exons. Lineage: Eukaryota; Viridiplantae; Streptophyta; Magnoliopsida; Fabales; Fabaceae.
CUAUGUCUGCAUGCACAAAGGGAAAACUGGACGCCAAGUCGCCAACCCAAGUCACGCUUUUACGGUAAACGUGGCACCGCGUUUUCUCUCUCCCCCGAGGCCCUCUCUCUUCGUCGCCGUUUACCAGUAUACGCAUACAGUCUCUCGCCACUGAAACCCCUUUUUUUCUCCAUUUGCAACGCUUUUCCCUUUUUUUCCUCUCUUCCUCAGCGCACGAAACCCCGAUUUCGAUCAAAACGCUUCGCAAGUAAACAUUCAAAAUCCAAAGAAGAGAAACUAUUCAAAACGCGAAAUCCCAUCAACAACACUGUUUUGAGUUUUCAUUAGAUGGAUUUAACUUGCCAUGAAUCACUUACCACGAUUUUUAGGCCGUAGGAAUGAUAAUAAGAAGCAAGACGGAAUGGGCGUGGAUCCCAAGAAGGCCCGAAUGUCAAAGCCCCGUCUCGAGCGCCGCAACGCCGCCAAGCACUUCGAUUACGACGCCGGCUCAUCGUCUUCGUCGUUCGAUGACUACUCCACUUUCUCCUCUCACGGCAACGGCGUUUCGGUGCUCUACACGCGCUCGAUGGAGUUCUACGAUCACAAGAGCUUCAGAAUCGAAGGCGUCGAGGGCGAGUUCGACCGGAUUUGCCAGAGCCUCGGCCUCUCUGGCCCAGAGGACUUCGCAAUUCCCGCGGCGGCUUGGGAGGCCAUGAAGGUUCGGUCUUCUUCGGAUAUUCUUCCGAGGUUGAAGCUUCGCGACUUGGAUGAAGUCAAGGAGAGUGAAGAAAUUGGGAUGAAGGAAGGUGAAUUUGGGGAUAGUUCCCAACCUAAGGCUCCUAAUCCGGUUACGGUUUCUGAUCAAUGCGUUCAAGAGAUUGCUUGCAGAAGUUGCUUCACUCUCGGUGGUUGCGUUGGCGGAGAUGAUGGAGUUGAAGUUGGGGAUAAUUGUGAGGAUAGCGUUACGGUCUGGGCUUCUGAUGAAUCUGUAAAAGACGGCGGUGAUCGCGGAAACUACAACAGUACUGUAACUGCUGAUACUGGCUGCAGCAGUGGCAGUGGCAGUGGCGGAGGUAUCAAGGGCUUUCGGCCCCCUAUGCUGAAACCAGCGCCGGGGAGUAGGGUUUCGGUUGUGGACAACGCGUCCUCCACAUGGGACCUGUUGAGGGAUUUUCCUUCACAAGGUGAAGGGAAGGAGAAUUUCGUGGAAUUCAGUGAUUCAGAUGAUGAUCAUCGAGGAUUGCAUGGUGAAUUAGAGAAUAGAGAAAAAGAGGAAGAGGAAGAGGAAGGAGGUAGAGGGGGUGAUGGAAAGAGAGAAGAAGAAGAGAAUUCAUUGAGAUUCGCAGAGAUUGUUGCGGAGCUUACUGGGUCAUGUUCUUUCACAACUUCGAAUGGAGAUGAUUCUUCUAGCACUACCACGGAUCCUAGGUCCAAUAAUAUAUCUCCUAAUGGAAGAUUUAAGCGUAUUAUUACCCACUGGCAGAAGGGUGAUCUUUUGGGUCGCGGUUCCUUUGGGUCUGUCUACGAAGGAAUUGCAGGGGAUGGGUUCUUCUUUGCUGUAAAAGAAGUUUCACUGCUUGAUCAAGGGAAUCAGGGAAAGCAAAGUGUCUAUCAAUUGGAACAGGAGAUUGCACUUUUGAGUCAAUUUCAACAUGAGAAUAUAGUUCAAUACUAUGGUACAGAAAUGGAUGACUCAAAGCUGUAUAUCUUUCUUGAGCUCGUAACCAAAGGUUCUCUUGCAAGCCUCUACCAUAGGUAUACCCUUCGAGAUUCCCAAGUAUCUGCAUAUACUAGACAGAUUCUGCACGGCCUAAAGUAUCUUCAUGAUAGAAAUGUCAUCCACAGGGAUAUUAAAUGUGCAAAUAUUUUGGUCGAUGCAAAUGGAUCUGUCAAGCUUGCCGAUUUUGGAUUGGCAAAGGCAACCAAAUUGAAUGAUGUUAAAUCAAUGAAGGGAACAGCAUUUUGGAUGGCCCCAGAGGUUGUGAAAGGAAAAGCCCGAGGUUAUGGGCUUCCAGCUGAUAUAUGGAGUUUGGGGUGCACUGUGUUGGAGAUGUUGACGGGGAAAAUCCCAUAUUCUCACUUGGAAUGCAUGCAGGCACUGUUUAGAAUUGGAAAAGGUGAACCACCUCCGGUACCUGAUUCUCUUUCAAGAGAUGCAAAUGAUUUCAUCUUGCAGUGCCUAAAAGUGAAUCCAGAUGAUCGUCCCACGGCUACUCAACUCUUAACACAUUCAUUUGUCCAACGGCCACUUUCUCAGUCAUCUGGCUCUGCAUCUCCUUUCAUUCCUAGAAGACGGGGUUAAACCUGUGAUGUCCAACUAUGAAAAAUACUGAAGGUAUGACGCAGUGUCAUGUGGCGAAGGCCCCCGUGGAUUGGUACGCGUGGGUUACGUCGGACAUAAAGGACACUCCUUCGCAAAUAACCGUGGAAGAGUUCACGGAGUUCCGCCAAAACGACCAAUUGGGCGGAGGAGGUCCCGGGGAAGAUAAUUACGACGUAUUCAUUCCCACGGAUCGGGAACAGAUCUGCCACCUCAACUUAAACACUCCCCGGGUUGCUGAUUGGAUGUGGUUGUACAUAGCCAUGUUCGCCAGCUUGGGGGUUCGUAUACCCUUUUCUCCCUUCCAAAUGGUGCUAUUGAACCAAUAUGACAUUGCGCCGUCGCAACUUCAUCCAAUUAGUUGGGCCUCCAUCCGAUGUUUCGAGAUUGUCUGCGAAUAUCUCGAGCUACUGGUCUCGGUGGAGGUGUUCUUGUGGUUCUUCGUCCUAAUAAAUCCUUCCAAGGAAGGGAGAGCCAAGAAAGGGUAUAUGUCUUUCCAGAAAGCUCAGGGUAGGCAAAUUUUUGGGUUGUUCGGAGACUUCUUUCAUGGUUUCAAAGAGAAAUAUUUCAAGGUGCGGCCUCUCGAGGGUCGGCAUCCCUUUUGGUUAACUUUGGAAGGGAAACGCCGCAUCCCGACUUACUGGAGCUUUGGGCUGGGUCCAAUGCUUUCACUAAGGUGACUUACAAAGGCCUGACCCCUCAAAAUAAAAAGGUUGCCGACGUACUGUUGGUUAUUUUUGGCAAAAACAAUGUUAACCCCUACCUUCUUAUGGGUGAUCGUUAUAUGGGUAUGGGCUAUAGAGUGUCGAUGGCUGGUGAGUAGGUUGGACUUGAAACAUUAUUUCAAACGUUUCUCGUUGGCGAUGGAAGCUCUGCUACUCAGACGAACGAGCCGAUGCACUCUCCUGCUGUUGAAGUGCAAUGCUAACCUACCCAAGGGGAAGUGAUUGGAACCAGCACUGGACCGGUCUCUCGACCAGUGGUCGAAGAGAGAGUGCGGGGCCCGAAGUCGUCAUUGUUGACAACCCGAGAAAGAAGAAGUCGACUUCGAGCCUUGAGGGAGCCCUUACUGUGAUGGAAAAGAACUUCGAUGCUGGGAAUUUCAUCGACUCUCAACUCCUGCCCAGCACAGAGGACUUUUUCCAUGGCGGCGAUCUUGCCUCUCAGGCCAAGUGGGUGUACCGCACCUUGCUCCGGGCAGCCGCUAUAGCAAGGAAAGCGGAACCCGUUCUGGCGGGGGCUCAGACUCUGGAGAAUAAGCUUCAGUCAUCCGUCAAUGCUAAUGAGAAGUACAAACUUGAGGUGAAGUCGCUACAGACACAGCUGGCCGCCGCUGAGGGGAAGGUGAAGACUUCUGAUGCGACGGUUGUGCGACUUACCGAGCGAGAGCUUACUUUGGAAGGUCAGCUCAGCGUCGCGCAGAGUCAGGUUAAGGAGCUGGAAAAGAAGCGUGACGUAGAUGUCUCGUCUACAAAUGCAGCCAAGGCCGAGGCCGCCGAUAUGAAGAAAAAUAGCAGAGAUAGUGAAGCAUGGUCGCAAUGCCAUCAGGGCUAUCGAAGAGGCUAUUAAGGCUCAAGUGAAGCUGCUGUCUCCCGACUUUAAUGUCUCAGCUAUCAUCGCCUUGAAGACUAUUAAAAAUGGCAAGAUCGUUGAUCUCCUGAAGAAGUAUGACUUGUUGCUUUGUAGUCUUUUUUUUUUGCCGCUUUUGGCUGCGUUAUGUACUUUUGGUCUUGUAGUUUGUCUUUUGUGAAACAUUUUAUCGCUUCGUCGCUUAAUCGUUGACAAAACGAAGCCGGAAAGUGACUUUAUUUUCCAAUUAUUUGUUAUGGCAACAGUUUCGUA